This 460-nucleotide ribosomal RNA is filed under the name uncultured bacterium. RNAcentral's name for it is "partial 16S ribosomal RNA". It matches the Rfam family "Bacterial small subunit ribosomal RNA", at positions 338 to 795 of the family's 1533-position model. The record is from RNAcentral.
CCUACGGGAGGCAGCAGUGAGGAAUAUUGGUCAAUGGACGAGAGUCUGAACCAGCCAAGUAGCGUGAAGGAUGACUGCCCUAUGGGUUGUAAACUUCUUUUAUAUGGGAAUAAAAUGUUCCACGUGUGGGAUUUUGUAUGUACCAUAUGAAUAAGGAUCGGCUAACUCCGUGCCAGCAGCCGCGGUAAUACGGAGGAUCCGAGCGUUCUCCGGAUGUAUUGGGUUUAAAGGGAGCGUAGGUGGAUUGUUAAGUCAGUUGUGAAAGUUUGCGGCUCAACCGUAAAAUUGCAGUUGAAACUGGCAGUCUUGAGUACAGUAGAGGUGGGCGGAAUUCGUGGUGUAGCGGUGAAAUGCUUAGAUAUCACGAAGAACUCCGAUUGCGAAGGCAGCUCACUGGACUGCAACUGACACUGAGGCUCGAAAGUGUGGGUAUCAAACAGGAUUAGAUACCCUUGUAGUC